Molecule: long non-coding RNA, 1146 nt
Organism: Vicia villosa (hairy vetch)
Lineage: Eukaryota; Viridiplantae; Streptophyta; Magnoliopsida; Fabales; Fabaceae
Exons: 3
Source: RefSeq, a predicted model, not a curated record
AAUCAAUGCUAAUAUCUAAUAUCAAUUAAUUCUAGUUAAAAACAAACAUGAAAAAAUUGAAAGGGGAUUAGGUUAAAUGUAUUGUGACCUUUGGGCUUAUCUGAAUGAAUCUUCUUCUUCGACGUGAACUUCGACGGCCGCGCUUCCUUCUCCGGCAACAAACCUCCAUCAUCUCCAAUCAAAAGCCGCCGCGAACCAAGAGAAGGACUCCGACCUUUCUCCCUCAUCGUCUCUCAUCUGGACUCUCUCUCUCUCGAUCUUCCUCGUUUUGAUGUUGCGAUUGGCGAAGUUGUUGAUCGCAGAUGCGGAUGAGCGAAGUAAUUUUUUUCUCGGAAAUUUCCGCGAGCAGUGGUGCGAAGUAGUUGCGUUGCCGAGGAAAAUCUCCGAUCAUAACUCAGUGAAUAUUGCGUCGAAGAUGAAUUUGCAGGGCUUUGUGUUCUGAAUCAUUGUUUUGGUGAUGAUGAUACAGGAUCGGUGCUAGUUCUUGAAGAUUCUCGAAGCUCGUAGUUGCGAAUUCUUGGAGGUUGAAGAGUGAUGAUGAAGCUUAUGGUGAAGAUGAAGAUGAUGCGUUAAGGAUUGUUGUCGAUAAUGAGAAAUUCAACUGAUGAAGAUAGUGAUCAUUGGAGGUCACUGAAUCGUGCGACGACUGAUGAAUGUUACGGAUCGAAACGUGAUUGAGGAGGUGGAGAAUUGAUUGAAGGAUUGACGAAGAUGGAUGAAGGUUGAGAUUAUGAGCAAGUGGUUCAAUGUUUCUGUUGAAGCGUUGGUGAUGAUUGAAAAAGGUUGAAGAGCUUUGGUGGUGAAGAGAGAAGAAAGUGAUGAAUUUGUGAAGAAGAUGAUGAAGACUGAAUGAAGCAGAGAUGAGGAUUUUGUUAUCAGGUUGAAUCAAGAGAGAGGGAAUUGAAGAGUGUGUGAAUCUGUGUUAAAGAUUUUCUGGUUUUUUUUUUAAUCGAUGAUGAAGAAGAGAGAAAGAUGAAGGUUCGAUUUUGUUCCCGGUUUUUUCUAGUGUAUUUGAGAUGCAGGAUUGGAUUGUAUGGAAGCUGAUCUUUUGUAAUGCCCUUUUUUGUGAUAAAUUGUAUUUUAUUUUUUUUAGAUGAAUGUAAUAGAAAUAUGAAAUAUAUCUGAUCAUUGAGUGGACUUUUUCUU